ACAGGGAAUUGCCCUAGUAACGGCGAGUGAACAGGCAAGAGCUCAGAUUUGAAAGGCACUUUUGUGCCGUUGUAUUCUGAAGUUAGGGUCCUGAGAAACGAUGCUUAAGUCUUCUGGAAAGGAGCGCCAUGGAGGGUGAUAGCCCCGUCUAGCAUUGACCUCAUAUAGGAUCUUAACAUGGAGUCGAGUUGUUUGGGAAUGCAGCUCAAAUGGGUGGUAUGCUCCAUCUAAAGCUAAAUAUCUGCGAGAGACCGAUAGUAAACAAGUACUGUGAGGGAAAGAUGAAAAGAACUUUGAAAAGAGAGUGAAAAAGUACGUGAAAUUGUUGAAAUGGAAGGGUAGGCCGCUAACCAUGUAGAGCCGUGUUUGGGGGGAAGAUAAAUGCUGUAGAAUGUAGCUCCUCGGAGUAUUAUAGAUGCAGUUCAUAUUCCCACCCGAGCGCGAGGAUCUCAGGUUCUACUAAAUGGUGGUCUACCACCCGUCUUGAACC
RNAcentral lists this ribosomal RNA (490 nucleotides) under Starmerella bacillaris. Its description in RNAcentral is "eukaryotic LSU rRNA". It matches the Rfam family "Eukaryotic large subunit ribosomal RNA", at positions 68 to 660 of the family's 3401-position model. Lineage: Eukaryota; Fungi; Ascomycota; Dipodascomycetes; Dipodascales; Trichomonascaceae. The record is from RNAcentral.